Molecule: ribosomal RNA, 403 nt
Filed under: Bacteroidota bacterium
Lineage: Bacteria; Pseudomonadati; Bacteroidota
Description: Bacteroidetes bacterium partial 16S ribosomal RNA
Rfam family: Bacterial small subunit ribosomal RNA
Source: RNAcentral
UGGGGAAUUUUGCACAAUGGGGGAAACCCUGAUGCAGCGACGCCGCGUGAUUUAGAAGGCCUUCGGGUUGUAAAAAUCUUUUCUAUGGGAAGAAAAUGACAGUACCAUAGGAAUAAGGACCGGCUAAUUACGUGCCAGCAGCCGCGGUAAUACGUAGGUGGCAAGCGUUGUCCGGAUUUAUUGGGCGUAAAGCGAGCGCAGGCGGUCAAUUAAGUCUGAUGUGAAAGCCCCCGGCUCAACCGGGGAGGGUCAUUGGAAACUGGUUGACUUGAGUGCAGAAGAGGAGAGUGGAAUUCCAUGUGUAGCGGUGAAAUGCGUAGAUAUAUGGAGGAACACCAGUGGCGAAGGCGACUCUCUGGUCUGUAACUGACGCUGAGGUUCGAAAGCGUGGGUAGCAAACAGG